UACGUAGGGUCCGAGCGUUGUCCGGAAUUAUUGGGCGUAAAGGGCUCGUAGGCGGUUCGUCACGUCGGGAGUGAAAACUCGGGGCUUAACCCCGAGCCUGCUUCCGAUACGGGCAGACUAGAGGUAUGCAGGGGAGAACGGAAUUCCUGGUGUAGCGGUGAAAUGCGCAGAUAUCAGGAGGAACACCGGUGGCGAAGGCGGUUCUCUGGGCAUUACCUGACGCUGAGGAGCGAAAGUGUGGGGAGCGAACAGG
RNAcentral lists this ribosomal RNA (253 nucleotides) under uncultured bacterium. RNAcentral describes it as "partial 16S ribosomal RNA". It matches the Rfam family "Bacterial small subunit ribosomal RNA", at positions 524 to 776 of the family's 1533-position model. The record is from RNAcentral.